Molecule: unclassified non-coding RNA, 230 nt
Filed under: Hevea brasiliensis (rubber tree)
Lineage: Eukaryota; Viridiplantae; Streptophyta; Magnoliopsida; Malpighiales; Euphorbiaceae
Source: RNAcentral
GCUUUCUGGAAAAUCUCGAAAUCAACAUUAUAUACAUCCACUUUUCUCUCACCGGGGCAAAUCUUAAUUGCUGAAGGCCCAAUAUCCACUCCAUUACUAGAUUUAUCCAUCAAAGGUAGAUAAUUUGAAAAAGCAUCCCAAAAAUAAACUGGUUCCUCUCCUUCUUUAACCACUAUAAUUGGCCCUUGCGCUCUCUCAUAACGAACAAUCUGGCAUACAGCCCCUCUAGC